This 1457-nucleotide long non-coding RNA is filed under the name Homo sapiens (human). RNAcentral's name for it is "HSALNT0035613". Lineage: Eukaryota; Metazoa; Chordata; Mammalia; Primates; Hominidae. The record is from RNAcentral.
UAUUGCUAUAAAGAGUUUUCUUUGUCAGUCUCAAGGUCUCUGUCUUCAUAUUAAAAGCUGGUCAGUUGUGCCUGAAUUUUAAAGGGAAGAGGGUAAGUUAAGGCAUAUCCAAUCAUCCGUUCCGAUCAUGGGCUGCAUUGUAUUUCAGGUUGAUUUUGGUGUGUGCUUGGCUGAGAGGAGGAGUUCAUUCAGUUGGUUAGGGAGCUUAGAGUUUCAUUUUUGGUUUACACACCUAUGUCCAGGUAAGAGGGCCCCACACAGGAGGGCUUGCUCAGAACCUGGCUUGCAGGGCUGCUUACAGACCUUCUAUGUCUCCUGUUGUCAUGCACAAGGAAGGACACAGCCAAUGACAACCCUCAGCCAUCCGAGGAGAAGCUGUGUCUGCAGAGGACGGUCAUGAGCUAAGGCAGUGGGUGGUAUGACAGCACAGAGGGACUCUGUGGGUCCAGCUGCAUGGAGCACUCUGGGAGAGUCACUGGCACCCGUGCUAGACAGAGCUUCAUUCAACUUCUGGAGCACACGGAUUUAGAUCUCUUUACAUCAUUUUGAAAGACCACUUAUCAUUCUGAAGGAAACCACUGUAAUUAACUAAGGUAACAUCUUUAAUAGGUAGAAAGAAAAAACUGAUUAUUUUAUUGCCAAGAUGAUUACAAGAAAAGAAAGAAACAAAAAUAGCAUGAAGGAAAGAGCAACACUAGACUGAGGGCUUUGGGUAAGAGGUUGAGACUUAGUAGUGAAUGCCCUGGGCCAUCUUCUGUCAAAAGGGAGGGACAAUCAGCAAAGGGAAAUAUGCAGUAGAGGCAAAAUCUUGGUUAGUAAAAGAAUCCUAAGAGAAAACAAGAAGUCUCCUUCCUGAGCAUCAUGUUGGUGUCGGGAAGAUGCACAUAAUCCCCCCAUUGCAUGUCUUAACACUUUUCAGCAAUUAGGGCUCAGCACGAAUUUAGAAGACACCAUUCACUUCACAGCAGAUGGGGACACAGUCAAGGCAGCGGUGAGAGGCAAGGCUGGGCUUUCAGUCUCAGAGCACAGAGCAGGUUCCCCACUACUCCGCACCCUUGUGUCUCCUCCCAGAUGUUCCAGAUGUUCCACCUCAUUCUUGCCUUAAGGGCUCCAAGUUGUUAAUGGGACAGUAGCCCUCUUCCUUUCCCAGGGUUUCUAAGAAUUUGGCUCUCUUUUGUGUAUUGCGGGGUUUGUUUGCCAUCUAGAGGCAGGUUUUUGGCAUAGCAACUUAUAGGCUUUUUCUACUUGUGAUAGCGAAAAUAAAUACAUAAAUAAAUUCAUCAUAAAUAAUAAAUUGACUUAAUGCAUUGAAUCUGUAAAAAAAAAAAUAAGGUCAGUUUGAGAGCUUAAAAGGAGCCUGAUGAGGUUAAAAAGACAAAUUACCUUUAGUAAAGAGCAGUUGGAGCAAUAGAUGAUUCUUUCUUUAAUCAAUGACAUUUUAGGAGUAAUUAUCAAAU